UAGAGUUUGAUCCUGGCUCAGAUUGAACGCUGGCGGCAGGCCUAACACAUGCAAGUCGAACGGUAACAGGAAGAAGCUUGCUUCUUUGCUGACGAGUGGCGGACGGGUGAGUAAUGUCUGGGAAACUGCCUGAUGGAGGGGGAUAACUACUGGAAACGGUAGCUAAUACCGCAUAACGUCGCAAGACCAAAGAGGGGGACCUUCGGGCCUCUUGCCAUCGGAUGUGCCCAGAUGGGAUUAGCUUGUUGGUGGGGUAACGGCUCACCAAGGCGACGAUCCCUAGCUGGUCUGAGAGGAUGACCAGCCACACUGGAACUGAGACACGGUCC
Molecule: ribosomal RNA, 329 nt
Filed under: uncultured Enterobacterales bacterium
Lineage: Bacteria; Pseudomonadati; Pseudomonadota; Gammaproteobacteria; Enterobacterales
Description: bacterial SSU rRNA
Rfam family: Bacterial small subunit ribosomal RNA
Source: RNAcentral